This 253-nucleotide ribosomal RNA is filed under the name uncultured bacterium. RNAcentral describes it as "partial 16S ribosomal RNA". It matches the Rfam family "Bacterial small subunit ribosomal RNA", at positions 524 to 776 of the family's 1533-position model. The record is from RNAcentral.
GACGAGGGAUCCUAGCGUUGUUCGGAAUCAUUGGGCGUAAAGCGGGUGUAGGCGGCUUUGUAAGUCAGAUGUGAAAGCCCUGGGCUCAACCCAGGAAGUGCAUUUGAUACUGCGGAGCUUGAGUGUGGGAGAGGCUAGUGGAAUUCCUGGUGUAGUGGUGAAAUACGUAGAUAUCAGGAGGAACAUCGGUGGCGAAGGCGGCUAGCUGGCCCAACACUGACGCUGAGAUCCGAAAGCGUGGGGAUCAAACAGG